UGGGGAAUUUUGGACAAUGGGCGAAAGCCUGAUCCAGCAAUGCCGCGUGUGUGAAGAAGGCCUUCGGGUUGUAAAGCACUUUUGUCCGGAAAGAAAUCCUUGGCUCUAAUACAGUCGGGGGAUGACGGUACCGGAAGAAUAAGCACCGGCUAACUACGUGCCAGCAGCCGCGGUAAUACGUAGGGUGCAAGCGUUAAUCGGAAUUACUGGGCGUAAAGCGUGCGCAGGCGGUUUGCUAAGACCGAUGUGAAAUCCCCGGGGUCUCAACCUGGGAACUGCAUUGGUGACUGGCAGGCUAGAGUAUGGCAGAGGGGGGUAGAAUUCCACGUGUAGCAGUGAAAUGCGUAGAGAUGUGGAGGAAUACCGAUGGCGAAGGCAGCCCCCUGGGCCAAUACUGACGCUCAUGCACGAAAGCGUGGGGGAGCAAACAGGAUUAGAUACCCUGGUAGUCCACGCCCAUAAACGAUGUCAACUAGUUGUU
This 481-nucleotide ribosomal RNA is filed under the name uncultured bacterium. RNAcentral's name for it is "partial 16S ribosomal RNA". It matches the Rfam family "Bacterial small subunit ribosomal RNA", at positions 355 to 824 of the family's 1533-position model. The record is from RNAcentral.